Molecule: unclassified non-coding RNA, 499 nt
Filed under: uncultured Glomus
Lineage: Eukaryota; Fungi; Glomeromycota; Glomeromycetes; Glomerales; Glomeraceae
Description: SSU rRNA
Rfam family: Eukaryotic small subunit ribosomal RNA
Source: RNAcentral
CCAAUAGCGUAUAUUAAAGUUGUUGCAGUUAAAAAGCUCGUAGUUGAAUUUCGGGGUUAGUAGGUUGGUCAUGCCUCUGGUAUGUACUGGUCUCACUGAUUCCUCCUUCCUGAUGAACCUUAAUGCCAUUUAUUUGGUGUUUUGGGAAUUUGGACUGUUACUUUGAAAAAAUUAGAGUGUUUAAAGCAAGCUAACGCUUGAAUACAUUAGCAUGGAAUAAUGAAAUAGGACGUUCGAUCCUAUUUUGUUGGUUUCUAGGAUUGACGUAAUGAUUAAUAGGGAUAGUUGGGGGCAUUAGUAUUCAAUUGUCAGAGGUGAAAUUCUUGGAUUUAUUGAAGACUAACUACUGCGAAAGCAUUUGCCAAGGAUGUUUUCAUUAAUCAAGAACGAAAGUUAGGGGAUCGAAGACGAUCAGAUACCGUCGUAGUCUUAACCAUAAACUAUGCCGACUAGGGAUCGGAUGAUGUUAAUUUUUUAAUGACUCAUUCGGCGCCUUACG